UCGUUCUGGUUCAUUUCCAGCACUGUUAUUUAUGUUGUUCCUCUUAAUUUUUUCCUGCUGUUUCAGCUUUACAAGGGGUAUCCAAUUACUUCCUCUGUGACUUUUUUUUUUUUUUUUUUUUUAAACUUUUGAGUGCCAGAAAUCUCACCUCAGAAGAGGUUUCUUUUUCUGGUAAAAAUCUCUUGAAUCGGCCCCUUUCUUUCUGUGAGGGCUGCUCCUGCCCAGAUCCAGGGCCUCUGCAUCUCAGGUCUGGGUUCUUACAGGUGUCAUCCCUAAAAGGAGCCUUCCUGCUUCCCAGGUGGCCCAUUCGCUAUAUUGUGCCAGCCAGAAUCUGGGGCUCAUCCCUGGCUCGCUCUUUCCCCUCACCCCACUCCAAUUAGUUACCACUAAGACCUCACUAUUCUACUUCCUUGAUAUCUGUCAGAUCCACCCUUUUCUCUCCACCCUCACCUCUGUCACACUGCUCAGCAGAACUACUGAUAUCCAAAUGGGGUUCCUGCAUUAUACACACCUUUCCAGCCGGCACGCACUGUCCCUAGAAUGUGCUUGCUUAUGGGCAGCUCACCUGUAUCAAAGCUUGUAAUAAAGGGCCCUACAAAUCCAGAAUAGAGUCUCAACUCUUCAGUGGGGCGUAUGAGGCCUUUUAGAGUGGCUCCUACUUGCCUCUCAAAGUCAUGUCCCUCCCACUCAUGCUCUUUUGGGUUCUCCAUAAAGCACGUGCAGCUCCUAGAACAGGCAACACUUUUCUUUCCCACCUCUGGCUCUUCCUUCUACUUGGAACACCUUUAUCUUUGAUCCUCACCUUCACUCCAUUCCUCGUUCAGGACUCAACUCACUGGACUUUUCUGGAACGGAGGAGUCACUCCACCUUCUAUGUCCCUCACAUGGUCUGUCUCCGUCCCAUUUCUGCCAUGCCACACUGCAAGUCCCAUGGGACAGAGGAGGGAUUUGCUCACUGCUGUAUCCACAUGGAAGCCUCUCAAAAUUCAUCAGAUGACUUGUUGAAUGAAUGGAUAUUUAAAUUCAUGCAUAUAAAUGUGAAUGAUUGAAUGAGUGGAGACGUUUGCAUAGCAUCAUGACGGAACCUUGUCUCUGCAUUCGUGUAAGCUGUGCUUGCCGCUCAGACCAAUAGGAAAUCUACUCUGAUGCCAGAGUCAACCCACAGCAGGAUAAUUCAGGAAAAUUGAAUUAAAAUUUUAAAAAUAAUGUUUUUUAGAUUUUCCUUCCUGGAAUGCAUUAGAAAGUGAGACCGGAGACCAACGCCGUCCUGGGAUGGCUUAGCAUCACCCUGGAGGUUGGGGGGAGAGCCUGGAAAUGACUAGAUUUCCCUCAAACUCUUUGAAUCUGGUCUCAGGUUUAUGCUGGGAGCCUUUCCCACUACCCGACCAAGAAGCGAUUUACUGAACAAUGACCUCAUUUUACAUUUCACAAUAUGUGUGUCAUAUAAGCAGUCUGUGCUGCUGAAUGGUUUCCUGUAAACAUUUACAAUGGUUUGAGACACUGGGGCCAGUCCCCAGUAGUUCUGGGAAAGACUUUUUAGAAAACAAGAAGGAACCUCUGCCCCAACUGUACAUUGGACACUGCAGAGUAAUUAUACAGUAGAGGUCAGGCCCAGGGUGAUAAUUAGCCUUGGGGGUGCCAGGGCGCCUCCUCGCUUUUGCUCUCCCAGCAAUUUUCUGGGAGGAGACAGAGCUGAGUUUCAGCAGGAUGGAGGCCGCUGGGUGUGAAACGCCCUCCGCGUCACACCGGGGGCCCAUGUGCCACAUGGACUAGACCUUGCUCCCAAAGCGUGGUCUCAGGAUCUACAGCAUCAGCAUCACCUGGGAGCUUACUGGAACUGUAGGAUCUCAGAAACCACUCGGAGCUACCAGUCAGAAUCUGCGUGUUAACAUCCUGGCGACUCAAAAGCACGUUACAUUUUAGAAAGUCAUGAACUAGAACCAAGGUGUCAGGACCUCACUUGAGAGGCAGCAGGGAAGCACCUGUGAGGCUGGCUCAGCCACUCAGCAAAACUCAGAACUAUAAACAUCCUGCCACUUCCAGGCACACAUGGCUCCCGGCAGCUGUUGUCCAAAUACAACAUGAGCCAGAUGCCAUUCCAGAUCCCUAAUCCAGCUUUCAUCAGACCUAAUUCCCUACCACCUCUCAUGAGAGGGACCAGAGAGACUUGGAUGACAUUAGGAUUGCAUGACUACACUUCUCAUGAAGUUUCUUCCACCUUAAGGCUUCGUUCAGCAUUUUGGCAUCCUGAUCCACAUCAAAACCUUGAUGACUUCUCGCUUUGGCCUGGAGAAAAUAAUUGAAAAGAGACAAGAAACCCCUAAAGCCAACAUUGUGCGUGAUUGUGUCUCAAAUGCAGCCAACUUUGAGUGGGAGGCUUGUUUUCAAAGGAAGAAGAUAACGAUUCUUCUGAAAACAACCCACACAAGAGAAGAGUCAUCUGGCUAAAUCUGAGCAGAUUUUCCUGUGGAUCUUAUUUUUCUGUCUAUGCACAAAGCUCACUGAGCACAAGGUCAUGUCCUCUAGGCUAAGCAAACUCUUUGAAUAUUGCUUGAUUAGCAAAUGAUAGUAAUCGCGAUUAUUACUGCUCCAAAUAGGUUAGUCACAAACACGAUGUCUUCAGUUGAAAAGAAUCAUUAAUGAUGGCAAAGGGAUUGGGGGGAAGCGCAAGACAAAAAAGUAAAUUUUCAAUUCUCAGAAUUGGCUAGGAAGCCCUCUGUAUCACAGCACCUUGGAAAAUGUAAUUUCCUGGCCAAUAUCCUACUGGCUUUGGAGUAUUGUUUGUCAAGCAUCUGUCUGUGCAUCCUGGUCUGUGGAUAUAUCCUUGGGACUUUGUAACUUUCCUAGUAGGCUUUUAAAAUAUGUAUUUACUGCUGGUAAUAACUUAAAAACUAAAUAUAAAGCAUACUGAGUCAUUAGGAUGACCAAGGCUAGCACAUGAUUUCAACGCCUGCAUUUGUGUUUCUAUUUAUGAAUGUGUAUAUGCCGAAUAGCCAUAUUUUAAUUGUUGCAAGCGAAUGAUAAAAGAACAGAGAACAGAGGGAGGUUUAAUACAAAAAUCACACAUUUUAGCCAA
Molecule: long non-coding RNA, 3076 nt
Organism: Herpailurus yagouaroundi (jaguarundi)
Lineage: Eukaryota; Metazoa; Chordata; Mammalia; Carnivora; Felidae
Exons: 7
Source: RefSeq, a predicted model, not a curated record